Molecule: ribosomal RNA, 406 nt
Filed under: uncultured bacterium
Lineage: Bacteria
Description: partial 16S ribosomal RNA
Rfam family: Bacterial small subunit ribosomal RNA
Source: RNAcentral
AUUGAACGCUGGCGGCAGGCCUAACACAUGCAAGUCGAACGAGUGGCGGACGGGUGAGUAAUGUCUGGGAAACCGCCCGAUGGAGGGGGAUAACUACUGGAAACGGUAGCUAAUCCCGCAUACCAUCGGAUGUGCCCAGAUGGGAUUAGCUAGGAGGUGGGGUAACGGCUCACCUAGGCGACGAUCCCUAGCUGGACGGAGAGGUUGACCGGCCACACUGGAACUGGGACACGGUCCAGACUCCUACGGGAGGCAGCAGGGGGGAAUAUUGACAAAUGGGGGCAAGCCUGAUGCAGCCAUGCCGCGUGUAUGAAGAAGGCCUUCGGUUUGUAAAGUCCUUUCAUCGAGGAGGCGUUACUCGCAGAAGAAGCACCGGCUAACUCCGUGCCAGCAGCCGCGGUAAUAC